UCCUACGGGGCGCAGCAGUAGGGAAUUUUCGUCAAUGGGCGCAAGCCUGAACGAGCAAUGCCGCGUGAACGAGGAAGGUCUUCGGAUCGUAAAGUUCUGUUGAAGGGGAAAAAGAGCGGAGAGAGGAAAUGGUCUCCGAUUGAUAUUACCCUUCGAGGAAGCCACGGCUAACUACGUGCCAGCAGCCGCGGUAAUACGUAGGUGGCGAGCGUUAUUCGGAAUGAUUGGGCGUAAAGGGUGCGUAGGCGGCCUGCUAAGUCUGGAGUGAAAGGUACCGGCUCAACCGGUACAGGCUCUGGAAACUG
RNAcentral lists this ribosomal RNA (305 nucleotides) under uncultured bacterium. RNAcentral's name for it is "bacterial SSU rRNA". It matches the Rfam family "Bacterial small subunit ribosomal RNA", at positions 337 to 635 of the family's 1533-position model. The record is from RNAcentral.